RNAcentral lists this unclassified non-coding RNA (212 nucleotides) under uncultured Agaricales. Its description in RNAcentral is "sequence contains ITS1". Lineage: Eukaryota; Fungi; Basidiomycota; Agaricomycetes; Agaricales. The record is from RNAcentral.
UUGAAAAUUUUGGGGAAGUUCUGUUGCUGGCCUUCAUUUGUUGGCAUGUGCACGCUCUUCUCUAAUCUAUUCAUCCACCUGUGCACUUUUUGUAGGAGUUUCUUUUAGGUUGGCUUAGGUUGACUUGAAGGGAAUUUCCUAUGUCUUAUAAACUCUAUUGUAUGUUUUGAAUGUUUCUUUAUUGGGACUUAAAUGGCCCUUUAAAACUUAUA